This 4571-nucleotide long non-coding RNA is filed under the name Capsicum annuum. RNAcentral describes it as "long non-coding RNA (CANN_LNC019510)". The record is from RNAcentral. Lineage: Eukaryota; Viridiplantae; Streptophyta; Magnoliopsida; Solanales; Solanaceae.
AUUUUGGAUAAAAGUAGUCCUUUCCAAAACUAAAUUGGUAGGAAUAUUGAAUAGACCAAAUGCCUAACCUAAAUUUCCUUUCGCAACUCAAUGUAUCAAUCACCAGAGAAAUCUUAAAGCACCAUUUCACUUUGAAGGCAUGAAAAAACUGAAAGUAAAGAGCGAGCGUAAACAGUACUAAUACAAUAAGGCGAAGAUGUUAUUUCUAAUAUAGCUCAACUCAGAGGGGAUGAUGCACCUCUUUGCAAUAAUCACAAUCCGAUUUUCUUCUCCACCUUCUGAAUUUGGUUAAGGAAAAUCCCACUCAUCUGUGUAAACGAAAGAAAGAAGGAAGGAAACAUAUGUUAAAAGCUAACAUAAAACUAAGCAAUAAGAAGUUAGGAAAAGUAUCUAGAGACACUGCAAGCAGCAGUGUAUUUUAGGAAAGCAGCAGCGAAGAAUCCAUAGACACUGCUAAUCCCUGUAUUUUAGGAAAGGGAAAGGUACUCUCGUAAGAACGUGAAAUUUGCAGCAUAUUCAUCGUUCAAUGAUAACACUAACAUUCAGAAUGAUCAAAUGUGAAGAGUGAGGAAGAAAAUUAUUUCAACACACAAAUACCCGAGACAACCUUUUCUCUUUUUCCAAGUUAUUGAUGCCAUAGCAGAAAUGAAUUAAAUGACUACCUAGAAAACAUUCUCGAGCCAGAGCAGAAGAAUCUACUCAUCGGCAACACCUCAAAGGCAUAGCUGACCCCAUCUAACAGUCUGCACUAAUAAGAUAUAAGAUAAAAUAAAAAUAGAUCAGAUUGGAUCAUCACCGAAUCAAGUUCGAUCUUUAAGGUUUUUAGCAUUGAACUCGUACAAAUAAUAUUAUGGAUUUAGAUGUAAUAUUAGUUGAAAUUAUAGCCGGUUUACAAAUAUUUCAUGUAUAGACCACAUUGAAAGAACUUGAGAUGAACCCAUUGCCAAAGAGCUACAUCUGUCAAUGCUCAUCGCUACAUAUGAGAUUAUAAAGUGACUUAUGAAGUCACCAUCUUGGUGCACAAUAAUCAGACAAUCACAGUAGAUACAAAAGUACAACAAAAGCCUGAAAUGUUAAGUCUUGCGCAUUUACAGAGACUUCUUAGAGGCGCCCGUAAAAUUCUAAGGUGUAACUAAUUUUCACAUUCAAAGAAAGAACUCAAAAUUAUGAGCAUAGUUGAGAAAGAACUCGAAAUUAUGAACAUAGUUGAGGGCACUAUAAUUUUCAGCAAAACACACUCCCCAUGGAAGUCUACUAUCUCCCUGCGAAUCUUAAUGAUCUUAUUAUUACGAUCCUUCGCCUUUGCAACUCUAUCUUGCAACUCCCAUUACCAAUUCACAGGACAUGUCAAAUACAAGAUCAAAAUUUAACAAGAUCUUGCAGAAUCAUUCUUUAUUUUUAAGAAGUAACGAUCUUUCUCCUCCUUAUCGGAAACAAGUAGAUGCAUAACCAAUAGUUAAUAUGAAAUACAUAUGUGGCCAAUGAUUUCUUUGUAUCCCAACACAACUAAAAACAACAAUUACAAUCAAAAGUUAAAGUGGGUACCUCGAACAUUAGACUUCCUAAUACCUAACUCCUCUUUCGUGUAUAGAGUAAACCCAUCUAUCUUUUUCUUCCUCAAUCGAUGCGGUGGCUUUAAUAAAACUCCAUCUUUCGAAAUCUACCUAUUUUUUCAACUAUCUCAGCUCUGUAAGGGCUAUUCCACUUGAUUAUUUUUAUUUUCUGAGUUCUUCCCUUUUCCAGCUACAAUUCCUUUGAUUUCAUUGUCAGAAUUUUUGAAUUCAGAGAAGAAAUGAAAAGUAGAUUUUCCAUUUCUCCAGAGUAUAACUACUGCUAGUCUUGCACGGGUGAAAAUACAACAUACAAGGAAGAAUUCAAGGAAGGACUAAGGAAGGGUAAUUUGGUAAACAAACAUACUUUUAUAAAAAUUAUAUAAAUAUAUAUUAUCUUUAAUAUAUCAAACCAAAGAUUACGUAAAAGAUAAUGUAUGUACAAAUAAUACCAGCAUUAUUAAUACUUACAUUAAUAAUACAAGCAUUACUAAUACACCUUAUUCAGCAUUAUUCUUAUACACUCUACCAAACGACCCGUUAAAAAGACAAAUAUGGCGUGUACCUUCCCAUUUUUUUGUAAAAGCUUUUUUUGAAUUUUUCCUUUUAAUUAAAUCUAGACAAUUGAAAAUAGUAAAAAAGGGGACAAUAAAAGCCAAGUAAAGUGUUGAUAAAAUUUUGUCUAUUCAAAUGGAUUAAUAUUGAUAAACAUUGAUAAACAGUAUCCCUAAGUGAAGUUUGAGUUUUAGCUAUUCAUAAAAAAUAAUAUUAAUUUUCGAAGAAAACGUGGAGAUUGUAACGCUUGUUAUUUUAAAUAAAUAUUACUGGGAAAGUAAAUAAUUAGUCCAAUAUUAAUAUUGUUAAAGUUCCUUUUAUUUAAAGAAGAAAUCCUUUUAACUAGUCAUGCGAGAAUUGCGAAAAAAGGCAAGGACAUUAAUUUUAUUUCGAUGGAAAAUUGCAAACUCUUAAUCAAUAAAAACACAAUAAACAAGAAAAUUCCAAUAACCAAUGAUAACUAAUUACUGUUUCGAGUCUUCAAAAAAAUGACAACAUAGCACGGAUAUUAAACAAAGAAAAGAGACUAAGAGAUACUAGACUCCUAACGGGCUUGAGUUUUCAAGAAUACGCAAUUCCGAAGGUCUGCGAUUCUAGUAGCGAUUAACUCGAUGUUGGGUCAAAAUGAGUUCCGUUGGAACUCCAACUCCCGCGUUCACAUAAAAAGAUAAAAGGAAAUAAGGAUUAGUAACUAAUUUAAGUGAUAUAAACGAGUAAUGAAAAUAAUGCAAUCGGUGACCUGGUUGUGCAGUCCAAAGUAAAUAAGAUUGAAUAUGAACUCAAACAAAUUUUCAUCCAACUGGAGCGAUCAUGCACAUAAAAACCAACAGUCCUCCCAUGUUUCAAACUAUCCAGCCAAAGUUAUCAUUUUUACCCAAGGGUAAUUAAGAGCAGCUCCCAAUUUAAAAAAAUUUCUUUCAAAGUGCAGGAAUAUGACAAUGUAAAUUAAUCCAAUCAAACCUCUAUCUAUAUUCACGAAACCAACUUCCAACACUCACUAAUGGGGGCUUUACGUUCGUACGAGGUGAGGGAAGGACACGUCCCCCCCAGAAUGUUUCCCGUGACAUUGUCAACAAAUGACAAUCUCUCUUCCACCGCAACCCGUCACACAAUAAAAAAUGUUUGAAGUCCUUGUCUCCGAACACUCCCAACGACAUUUCAAUCAUUCCAUCCGGAUCUUGAUACAAUUUCAGCGGACUUCAUUACGAUUAUGGAAAAGGGAAUUUGAAGGAACGUUACAUUUCUUUUUAAAAGAAGAAGAUCCAAAAAAAGAAAAAUUGAAAACGACAUUAAAUUUUACUGCAGCCCGAGCCCGAAACAAAGAACACCAACACUAAUAUGAUUUUGAAUCAAAAAUAACAUAAUCGCGUAUUUACUGAUCCAAUACAACAUAAAAAAAUUCAGAAUUAAAAUCCAUAUCCAUCCAUCGAGUAACAAUUUAAUCAAUACAAAAUUUAAACCACAUCAUGCCUAUUGAGUGUGAACAAAUAGCAACAAAAUCAAACCGAUUGAAACCCGCACAGGGCCACACGUUCAUAUACCCAUCAUUUUGCGAUCUGUGAAAUAAUAUUUUCAAAAUCAAAACUGAUUUAUCCAUGCAGUCCAAAAAAUGUAACGACACUAAAAAAAGUGACGAAGAGAAAAAGUCGACAAAGAAAUGAGAAGGGGUGAAUUCGCACCUUUCCUGGUGCAGCAAACUUGGGCUAGACGUCAAGGUUUUUCCUGCCGCUAUUCACUCAACCACGGGACUUGAAGGUUGGACUAGAAAUUAUAAAACAAAGCCAACGAUACCAGUAACUUGAAAAUUUCCUUUCUUUUCCUCACAAAUUUCUGCCCGUUUUCUCCUCAAUCACUUGCUUUUUCUCGCUGAUUUUUUCUUGUUUUCCUACUGAUCUGAAAAAAACUCUCACUAAUUUUUUUUGCUUCUCUCUAAUCUUGAACCUUGUCCUCCAUAGGGGUGAAAACACCAUAUUUAUAGGUGCCAAAUCCAGACUUCAAAGACCGGAUUUGCAACUUCGAAAUUUUAAAAAAAAAAAAAAAAAAAAAAAAACGUGAAGGAGGGAGGACGAAAUUUGAAUUCAAAUUACAAAAAAAAAGAUCUCCAAAUCUCAGCUCUUUCCAAGCCAUUAAUGGAGGAUUUGAAAUCAACAAUAGUUUGUUAUACCGAUUUGGGACUGUUUUUGCUGAUUUCUUUGGAGUCACGGGUUAAGCCAUGAGAAAAAUAGGCCGAUUCUUGAGUAGGGCGGCAGACGGCGGCCCGCUACGGGGCUUAGGGGGUUUCUGGUUUGGGGGAGAAAAAUGAGGAAGGAGAAGAAAGAGAAUGGAGGGUCGCUGGUUUUUCAUGGCGUAUUGGGAAAAAUGGAGAGCGAUGAAAGGAAAGAUGGGGACUUAUCGGUGACUGCUCACUGCAAAAGUUGUGCGUGUAUUUAAUUUUUGGCAAAAUCACAGCCCUAUGCGUUAUUUUUC